GACGAACGCUGGCGGCGUGCUUAACACAUGCAAGUCGAACGAGGCUCCUUCUUCGGUUGGGGUUCUAGUGGCGAACGGGUGAGUAACACGUGGGCAACCUGCCCCUGGCUCUGGGAUAACUCCAAGAAAUUGGGGCUAAUACCGGAUAUGACCGCUGAUCGCAUGGUCUGGUGGUGGAAAGAUUUAUCGGCUGGGGAUGGGCCCGCGGCCUAUCAGCUUGUUGGUGGGGUAGUGGCCUACCAAGGCGACGACGGGUAGCCGGCCUGAGAGGGUGACCGGCCACACUGGGACUGAGACACGGCCCAGACUCCUACGGGAGGCAGCAGUGGGGAAUAUUGCGCAAUGGGCGAAAGCCUGACGCAGCGACGCCGCGUGAGGGAUGACGGCCU
RNAcentral lists this ribosomal RNA (389 nucleotides) under uncultured bacterium. RNAcentral describes it as "bacterial SSU rRNA". It matches the Rfam family "Bacterial small subunit ribosomal RNA", at positions 28 to 417 of the family's 1533-position model. The record is from RNAcentral.